CGGGAGAUGGCUGAGUGGUUGAAAGCUGCGGUCUUGAAAACCGUUGAGGGUCAUACCUCCGGGGGUUCGAAUCCCUCUCUCCCGGCCA
This 88-nucleotide transfer RNA is filed under the name Helicobacter pylori. RNAcentral's name for it is "tRNA-Ser". It matches the Rfam family "tRNA". From Rfam's summary of the family: Transfer RNA (tRNA) molecules are approximately 80 nucleotides in length. Their secondary structure includes four short double-helical elements and three loops (D, anti-codon, and T loops). The record is from RNAcentral. Lineage: Bacteria; Pseudomonadati; Campylobacterota; Epsilonproteobacteria; Campylobacterales; Helicobacteraceae. RNAcentral also lists the same sequence under 1 other name.